Long non-coding RNA from Gallus gallus (chicken), 1716 nucleotides. NCBI's taxonomy places the organism in Eukaryota, Metazoa, Chordata, Aves, Galliformes, Phasianidae. The record is from Ensembl.
CUACUCUGUUUCCUCUCUCCAGCCCUGAUGUCAGAUUGUUUCCCUCCAAGUACUGGUCUGAGGAUCCCCUACGGGCAGAUCUUUACAGUGAUUGCUUUUUUCCUGAUUGCUGCUGCUGUUUUCAGGUUUGUGAAGGAAGUGGCUAUGUUAGACUAGCAAUUGCAGAGCUGGACUGGUGACCACUGUAGAUGUAGAGCCCCCACAUGAUGCAAGUUCCUCCUUAGAAGCCCCCUGAGGUGGUUCUGCACACCCUGCUCUGGGUGACCCUGCUGGAGCAGUGUGACAAGCUGCUCUACACUCCAUGUGUGAUCAAGGAACUCUGCAGGAAGCAGGCAACUCUGGAAAGAGAGUCGUUCCCCUGUCUCCAUGAGAACUCCCCUUUCUGUGUAAUUUGUCAUUUGAAGAAGUAAUUCAGGUUCACCCUGCUAAGAACGAUGCGUGCCCUUCUGCCUGAGACAAGAGCAGGCAGUUUCUGUCUGUCAGAGCAGUAGGCAUCCCCAUGCUGCAUGGCUCCAGCAGCUGAGGCCAGCAGCAGCAGCAGGGCAAUGCGAAGAACUCAAGCUGCUGCAUCAGUUUAACGCGUUGCUGUCUGCAAGGCUUGAUGCGGGGCAGCGAGGAGGAGAGAGGGUAAGACAAAGAUUGUGUUUAAAUAACCACUUAGGCCGGUUGGCAAUAAGCAGGUUCUUUUUUUCUCUGAUGGUUUAUACCCACUGUGUUUCUGUUCGACCCAGCCUUUUCCUGAGCUGAAGCCAAGGGAUUUUUCCAUGUCCCCAAGGAGUGUGUUAGAAAAGCAGUGUUUAUGUUAGGGGACCUCAUUAACAUUACGAGUAAGUUGUAGUACCCAGAGACUAUCACAGGCUCAGCAGAAUGGAGCAAACGAGUCCUUGUUCCUUUGCGUCAUUGGCCCAAGCAGCCACCAGGCUGAAACCCAACCCUGGCUGCUUGCCUUCAGGGGAAAAAAUAAGAAGGGUAAAGUAAACAAGGCCCCUGUUCAGCUUUCCUGGACCUCGAUGGGAAUUGCUUGCAAUUAUACAUCAAAACUAUGAGCUGGCUCUGAACAGGCACAGCUCUGCUCCGCUGAGGCUGCAACCUUGUGCAGAAACCUCCUGCCUGCAGCCACUCCGGCUGGCCUCUACGUCCUGGACCACAGAGCCAGGAAACUAUUAAGUAUGUGCUUAAACCUGCUGCUCCUCAGGACAGCGCUGAUUUGACACCCGCAUAGCUUAAAAGCAGGCGUGAGGUUACAGGCUUUCCUGAACAUGGUGGCUUUGCCCAGGCUAGGUCUCAGCCGCUCAUUAUUUUAUCCUGAUGACAGCUGAGGUUUGGGGAUUUUUUGCCUGCAGAGUUCCCUCCUGCUCUGCAUUCCCAUUCCCCUAUCCCCUCACCAUCAGGGCACACGCAGCUGUGCUGUACCCAGGACACCUCCUGCCUCUGCAGUCUCUCCCCGUCAGCAUUCCAACACCCCCACACCCACGAUGGAGAAGGCUCAGGCUGCUGGGACAGAGAGAGAGCAAAAGAGCCAUGGAUGCAGGUGCCCCAAGGUUGUCUGAGUUGCUCCAUUCCCUUCUGCCCACUGCAGAGCCUCUGGGCUUUUCUCCUUUCCCCCACCAGCACAGGUCCUACAUGUAUUCAACAGGGAGCCCAGCACCUUUGCUCUUCUACAGAAGACAUAAUUUUGUACGUUUAUAACUAAUUUCUUCAAACAUAUGCUUUCAC